CAUUUUGAACCGCAUGGUUCGAAAUUGAAAGGCGGCUUCGGCUGUCACUUAUGGAUGGACCCGCGUCGCAUUAGCUAGUUGGUGAGGUAACGGCUCACCAAGGCAACGAUGCGUAGCCGACCUGAGAGGGUGAUCGGCCUUUAACACUGGGACUGAGACACGGCCCAGACUCCUACGGGAGUGCAGCAGUAGGGAAUCUUCCGCAAUGGACGAAAGUCUGACGGAGCAACGCCGCGUGAGUGAUGAAGGCUUUCGGGUCGUAAAACUCUGUUGUUAGGGAAGAACAAGUGCUAGUUGAAUAAGCUGGCACCUUGACGGUACCUAACCAGAAAGCCACGGCUAACUACGUGCCAGCAGCCGCGGUAAUACGUAGGUGGCAAGCGUUAUCCGGAAUUAUUGGGCGUAAAGCGCGCGCAGGUGGUUUCUUAAGUCUGAUGUGAAAGCCCACGGCUCAACCGUGGAGGGUCAUUGGAAACUGGGAGACUUGAGUGCAGAAGAGGAAAGUGGAAUUCCAUGUGUAGCGGUGAAAUGCGUAGAGAUAUGGAGGAACACCAGUGGCGAAAGCGACUUUCUGGUCUGUAACUGACACU
RNAcentral lists this ribosomal RNA (590 nucleotides) under Bacillus cereus. Its description in RNAcentral is "bacterial SSU rRNA". It matches the Rfam family "Bacterial small subunit ribosomal RNA", at positions 173 to 747 of the family's 1533-position model. Lineage: Bacteria; Bacillati; Bacillota; Bacilli; Caryophanales; Bacillaceae. The record is from RNAcentral.